Molecule: ribosomal RNA, 455 nt
Filed under: Streptococcus mitis
Lineage: Bacteria; Bacillati; Bacillota; Bacilli; Lactobacillales; Streptococcaceae
Description: bacterial SSU rRNA
Rfam family: Bacterial small subunit ribosomal RNA
Source: RNAcentral
GACGAACGCUGGCGGCGUGCCUAAUACAUGCAAGUAGAACGCUGAAGGAGGAGCUUGCUUCUCUGGAUGAGUUGCGAACGGGUGAGUAACGCGUAGGUAACCUGCCUGGUAGCGGGGGAUAACUAUUGGAAACGAUAGCUAAUACCGCAUAAGAGUAGAUGUUGCAUGACAUUUGCUUAAAAGGUGCAAUUGCACCACUACCAGAUGGACCUGCGUUGUAUUAGCUAGUUGGUGAGGUAACGGCUCACCAAGGCGACGAUACAUAGCCGACCUGAGAGGGUGAUCGGCCACACUGGGACUGAGACACGGCCCAGACUCCUACGGGAGGCAGCAGUAGGGAAUCUUCGGCAAUGGACGGAAGUCUGACCGAGCAACGCCGCGUGAGUGAAGAAGGUUUUCGGAUCGUAAAGCUCUGUUGUAAGAGAAGAACGAGUGUGAGAGUGGAAAGUUCACAG